This is an RNA transcript of Larimichthys crocea (large yellow croaker), 5023 nucleotides long. It is a transcript of the gene named Structural maintenance of chromosomes protein 6-like, with no coding region annotated. The transcript has 31 exons. The record is from RefSeq and is a predicted model, not a curated record. NCBI's taxonomy places the organism in Eukaryota, Metazoa, Chordata, Actinopteri, Sciaenidae.
CCUGUAUUCUCGCGAGAUUUCCCGGGCAGCAGUGGCGGGCGCGAAUUCGAUAAGUGGUCCUCCCCGCUGCUGCCGACCAGCUGCUGUGUGCAGCUACCGUGAAGCAGGUUAAGCUGUCCAUGAUGUCCAAGAGGAAGAGUACCACGGUCAGUGACAAGCCCCACAAACGGGCCAAAGCUUUGGAGGAGGAAGAAGUGGACGAUGCAAACGUGUAUGACAGCGAGCAGGACGAGCAGGGCGAUCAGCUGCUGGGUAAACAGGCACAAUCUGCUGGUGAGGUGGUGAGUGAUGCUGGCAUCGUGGAGAGCAUCACGCUGAAGAACUUCAUGUGUCACUCUCUGCUGGGCCCCUUCACCUUUGGCUCCAAUGUCAACUUUGUCGUCGGCAAUAAUGGAAGUGGGAAGAGUGCUGUUCUGACAGCCCUCAUAGUUGCCUUAGGGGGAAAUGCACAGGCCACAAACAGAGGAUCGUCCCUGAAAGGUUUUGUGAAAGAAGGGGAAAGCUCAGCUGAUGUAUCGAUCACCCUGCGUAACAAAGGAAGGGACGCUUACAAACCUGAGGUGUAUGGUCCAGCCAUCAUUGUUGACCUCAGAAUAACACGUGAAGGGUUGAGAACCUAUAAACUGAGGAGCAAAUCAGGUCAAAUUGUCUCAACGAAAAAGGAGGAGCUGCUAUCCAUCUUGGACAAUUUCAAUAUACAAGUCAACAAUCCUGUGUCAGUUCUCACUCAAGAGAUGAGCAAAUACUUCCUACACUCAAAAGGAGAGGGAGAUAAAUACAAGUUUUUUAUGAAAGCUACCCAGCUAGACCAGAUGAGGGAGGACUUCGUCUACAUCAAAACCACCAAACAUGUCACCGAGGAUAAAGUUGAACAACAUAGUGAGUGUUUAAAAGACUUAAAGCGGAAGUACCUGGAGAAAGAGGACCGUUACAAGAGUCUGGAAUCACUUGAUGAAAUGCACACUAAACUGGAGGAGCUGCAGAAGCAAAUGGCUUGGGUUUUGGUGGCUGAGGUGGAGAAGGAGUCGGACCCAAUUAAAGAGAAACUGCAGUCUGACAGACGUGCUACAGAGAAAUAUAAUGAGAAGGUGGAUGAGUGGAAGAAUAAGGUGGAGGAGGCUGAGAAGAAGCAAAGGCAGACCCAGGAACAGCUGGAUGGCAUCACGCAGCAACUCUCUGAGCUCCAGUCCAAAUGUGCUGAGCUCAAGGCUGAGGUCCAGAGACAAAAUAACACUCUCAAACAGAGUGAGGUCACUGUCCACAGAUGCAAGGCCAACCUUAGGGAUCUGGAAAAGGACAAAGUCCAGCUAUCCUCAAGGAUAAAUGAUCUGAAGUUGAGCAUCAGUCAGACAACAGGAGUGGAGAGCCAGGCCAGGACAGAGCGUAUGGGGCAAAUACAGACUGAGCUGGAAAAUCUGACACACCAGAUCUCCACUCUGGGCCAGCAGAUUGACCAGUAUCAACACGCCUGCAGCCGUGCCAAGGAGGAACAAGGAAAGAUGAGGAGAGAGCAGGAGAUGUUCCAGAGGUCCACUGAAGCCAACAGAAGGAACCUGCAGACUAUGGAGAGCAGUCGUUCCAAUCGCCUACGCCGUUUUGGAGAGCACAUGCCCACACUCCUCAACGCCAUCCAGGAAGCUCACAAAAGGGGCCAAUUCAAGCACAGACCUCGAGGACCUCUGGGUUAUCUCAUUAGCCUGAAGGACCCAGAACUGGCCCUGGCUGUAGAAGUGUGCCUUAAAGGCCAGCUGCAGGCCUUCACCUGUGAUAACCACGAGGACGAACGGGUGCUACAGGGCCUCAUGUCCAGAGUGUUCCCACCUGGUCGUAGACCUGCCAUCAUCACCAGCCAUUUUCUCUCACACGUCCAUGACACAAGAAAGAGGGCCGUAAAUCAUCCUGAAUACCCGUCCGUUCUUCAAGCUCUAGAAAUCGAGGACCCUGUUGUCGCUAACUGCCUGAUUGAUCAAAGGGGUAUAGAGAGCAUCCUGCUUAUAAAGAAUCGUACAGAGGCUCGGAGAGUGAUGCAGGGCAAAAACCCUCCUCAGAACUGUAGUCAGGCCUUCUCUAAGGAGGGAGAUCAAAUCUUCAUUAACCGUAGUUACACUGCUGAGCAGACUAGAGCCAACUACCUCUCAGGGGAUGUUGAGGAGGAGAUUAGGCACCUACAGAGGGAGAUGGAGAACCAGGAAGCUCAGGCGAAUCGCUUCCAGCAACAGAUGAGAAAGUUGAACGAGGACAUCAAACAGAAUGAAGGACUGCUGAGAAGAACCCACAUAGAGCAGAAGACUACCAAAGACAAGGCCACGAAGCUACAGCUGGAGCUAACUGACCUAAAAAAUGUGGAAGAGCCUCAGUCAGAGGACCUCAGGCCCCUGGAGGAAGAUCUUCAGGAGAUUGUUACUAAGAUCUCGUCCAAGCGUGCAGAGUUCGAUGAGGCACGAGCUCAGAUGGCUGUGCACAAGGCCUCCUAUGAGAAGGCAGAGCAAGAGUACAAGCAGCACAAAGAGCAGAUCAACACGAUCGCCGAGGAGGCAGACUCAAAAAAGGAGGAGCUGAGUAAAACCGAUCAGGAGGUGAUGAAGUGUAAGCAUCACAAGAAACACUAUGACGACAAACGCAGUGCACAUCUCGACAACAUACAGACCCUCGAGGCCAACCUGGAAAGCAAGGAGCAGGAACUUGAGGCAUCUAUAGCCAAGGCCACCAAAAUCUGCCCAGAGCGACUUGAGGUCCGGCGGACAGCCAGGAGUCUGGACAGUGAGAUCAACCGUCUCAAGGUCAAGAUCACGACUCAGCAGGAACAACAGGGGGACCGUGAGGAGGUUGUAAGGCAGUAUCAAGAGGCUCUGGAGAACUACAAGAACAUGGCACAGCAAAUGAAGAACCUCAACAGCUUCAUCAAAAGUCUGGAUAGUGUUAUGAACCAGAGACUCCAGGUUUACGCUGAGCUCAGGAGGUUCCUCUCAGCGCGCUGUAAAUACUACUUCGAUAGCAUGCUGGCCCAGAGAGGUUACACUGGAAGCAUGACGUUUAACCACAAGAGCGAAACCCUCUCCAUCUCAGUGCAGCCGGGCCAGGGAAACAAGGCUGACUUGAGUGACAUGCGCUCGCUGUCUGGAGGCGAGCGCUCCUUCUCCACUGUUUGCUUUGUUCUCUCUCUUUGGGCCAUCACUGAGGCGCCUUUCCGCUGUCUUGACGAGUUUGAUGUUUACAUGGACAUGGUGAACAGGAGGAUAUCGAUGGACAUGAUGCUGAAGGUGGCUGCUGGUCAGAGAUACAGGCAGUUCAUCUUUCUCACACCACAGAGCAUGAGUUCUCUCCCAGUGAGCAAAAUCAUCCGCAUCCUCCGUCUCAAAGAUCCAGACCGUGGCCAAAAUAACUCACAGAGGAGUCAAAACGAGGGCCAGUAGUGUUGCCAGUGGUAAUUUAACGACAAAUGAGAUCCCUGAGAGCUGCAACAAGCAGACAAUAUGAAGCCCAAAUCUCUUCCAUCAAUGUUGUUCGAUAGAAAUUCAGCAGCAGCCAAGACUCUGAGCCCAAGGGCAGCAAAAUAUCAACGGCAUGUGGACUGUGCGGAUCACCAAGAGAGCCUACAUCACUCAGGACACGACAAAGGCACACAAGACGAGAAGUGCCACAGAGGAGUUCAUUUUGCAUUUUUGCCAGAGAGGUACGAGCAACUGAUAGACGACGAGGCAAAAGAAGAGAAGAAGAAAAGGAAGAAAGAACAGUACAAAAAAGUCAAGAAGCAGCUCAUCUCGGAUCACUGGCCUCACUUCUUGGCUCAGGUUGACCCAGGCGGACUAAAGCCAGAGAUUACUUUUACUAAAGAGCUUUAAAGCUUCAUUUAUGUCACCUCUCUGGCUGGCUGGCUGAUGAACGUCCUGACAAACAAUGAAGAGGUCAGAACAUGCUGUGCACUUCCGCUAAGGAGCUGGUCUGCAGUUAUUAUCACCUUAUACCUGAGUGAAUUUUCAAUUUGGAAUGUUGGUAAAGCGCUUCGCACCACCUGGAAGUAUAUGAUGCUUGGCCUGUACAACUUUGCCCUCAGCUACUCUACUCCGAUCACAGUUGCUGCUACUUUUGUCCCUGACUUUCACCCAGGCCGAAACAGGACCUGAGCUGAGCCACGUGCACCUCCUCCGGUUUCUUUGCAAACUGUACUGGAUGUAAACAGCUGACCAAAGACGUUUAAUAUGUUUUUAAUGGUUGUGUAUUUAAAUGUACAUUUUUAUAUUUCUUUCUGCACAUUUUAAUCAAAAUAUGCUUAUUGUGCCGUAGGAAAUUGACUGGUGAAGUCAGAAAUUGACCUUUUUUUCAUGACAUUUUGAAAAAAGGCACAGUGAAAAAUGAUUUGCUAUCUUUAUAUAUGUACUCCUUAAGGUUAAACGCACCCUAGUUUAAACACUGCAAAACGUAUGUGCCUUUUUCACUCGAGCAUCUAGCCUGUGUUUGCAUGUGUGCAGAGGGAUAAUAUUGUGAGCAGGGACGUCAGGAGUAUUUACUGUAGCUGCAGAUAAAGUGAAUCAGGGCAAGAAAGACUUAACGGGAAGUGAUCAUCAGUGAAGUACGACAAAAGACGAAUAUGUUGAGACUGAAAGGUGUGGACACGCAGUGAGGAAAAAAGCAGGGCACUCUAUACUUCAAGAAUGCAGCAACUGAAGCAUUAAUGAUCUCCAGAGUAGUCCAGACUCCAGAGAGUUUGUUGAAUGAAAUAUAACGUGGGAAUUUUGAAGGUAGUCCUAAACAUUUCAGCGUUUGCGUACAUUGCAAGUCGUGAUAAGUUGGCAUGUGAUAAAAUGUGAAUAAAUUGUGCACCAAAAGAUGUCUUUUCUUAUAUUUUUGCUUUAAUAGGUUUCUGUGUAAAUUAUCUUCUUCUGCCAAUAGGUUCUUUGACUUAGUGACAAAGUUAAGUAUAAAUCCAUAUUCAUUUUAUCAUAGUAUAAAUGGAAGGAACAAACAAAUGAUUUAAUUUGAAAUAUAAAGUGGACACAUUCUGGAAUAAAGGAAUCUGAAAAUG